UGCCUAAUAGUAAGAACUGACUCUAAAAU
Molecule: non-coding RNA, 29 nt
Filed under: Homo sapiens (human)
Lineage: Eukaryota; Metazoa; Chordata; Mammalia; Primates; Hominidae
Source: RNAcentral